UACGAAGGGGGCUAGCGUUGUUCGGAAUAACUGGGCGUAAAGCGCACGUAGGCGGAUUGUUAAGUCAGAGGUGAAAUCCCGGGGCUCAACCCCGGAACUGCCUUUGAUACUGGCAAUCUUGAGUCCGAGAGAGGUGAGUGGAAUUCCGAGUGUAGAGGUGAAAUUCGUAGAUAUUCGGAGGAACACCAGUGGCGAAGGCGGCUCACUGGCUCGGUACUGACGCUGAGGUGCGAAAGCGUGGGGAGCAAACAGG
Molecule: ribosomal RNA, 253 nt
Filed under: uncultured bacterium
Lineage: Bacteria
Description: partial 16S ribosomal RNA
Rfam family: Bacterial small subunit ribosomal RNA
Source: RNAcentral